AGAGUUUGAUCCUGGCUCAGGAUGAACGCUGGCGGCGUGCUUAACACAUGCAAGUCGAACGAUUAAGACCCGCUUCGGUGGGUGCAUAGAGUGGCGAACGGGUGAGUAACACGUGGGCAACCUGCCCCUCACUUCGGGAUAACUCAGGGAAACCUGAGCUAAUACCGGAUACUCCGGGACGGUCGCAUGGCCGACUCGGGAAAGUUCCGGCGGUGAGGGAUGGGCCCGCGGCCCAUUAGCUUGUUGGUGAGGUAAUGGCUCACCAAGGCAACGAUGGGUAGCCGAGCUGAGAGGCUGAUCGGCCACACUGGGACUGAGACACGGCCCAGACUCCUACGGGAGGCAGCAGUGGGGAAUCUUGCGCAAUGGGCGAAAGCCUGACGCAGCAACGCCGCGUGCGGGAUGAAGGCCUUCGGGUUGUAAACCGCUUUCAGCAGGGACGAAUCUGACUGUACCUGCAGAAGAAGCCCCGGCUAACUACGUGCCAGCAGCCGCGGUAAUACGUAGGGGGCAAGCGUUAUCCGGAUUCAUUGGGCGUAAAGCGCGCGUAGGCGGCUUGUUAAGCGAGGUGUGAAAACCGGGGGCUCAACCCGCGGCCUGCACCUCGAACUGGCAGGCUUGAGUCUGGUAGAGGAAAGUGGAAUUCCCAGUGUAGCGGUGAAAUGCGCAGAUAUUGGGAGGAACACCAGUGGCGAAGGCGGCUUUCUGGGCCACGACUGACGCUGAGGCGCGAAAGCUAGG
Molecule: ribosomal RNA, 741 nt
Filed under: uncultured bacterium
Lineage: Bacteria
Description: bacterial SSU rRNA
Rfam family: Bacterial small subunit ribosomal RNA
Source: RNAcentral